This 253-nucleotide ribosomal RNA is filed under the name uncultured bacterium. Its description in RNAcentral is "partial 16S ribosomal RNA". It matches the Rfam family "Bacterial small subunit ribosomal RNA", at positions 524 to 776 of the family's 1533-position model. The record is from RNAcentral.
UACGGGGGGUGCGAGCGUUGUCCGGAAUCACUGGGCGUAAAGGGCGCGUAGGCGGCGCGGGAAGUCAUCGGUGAAAGCUCAGGGCUCAACUCUGAGUCGGCCGGUGAUACUCUCGUGCUUGAGCACUGUAGAGGCAGGUGGAAUUCCGGGUGUAGCGGUGGAAUGCGUAGAGAUCCGGAAGAACACCGGUGGCGAAGGCGGCCUGCUGGGCAGUAGCUGACGCUGAUGCGCGACAGCGUGGGGAGCAAACAGG